Molecule: RNA transcript, 5073 nt
Organism: Acipenser ruthenus (sterlet)
Lineage: Eukaryota; Metazoa; Chordata; Actinopteri; Acipenseriformes; Acipenseridae
Gene name: AN1-type zinc finger protein 4-like
Exons: 8
Source: RefSeq, a predicted model, not a curated record
CAUUUAUUUGCUCAUAAUGUGUUGUAACUUGACAGUCUUUUCCCUGUGCUAGUAUGGUGACUUUACUAUAUACUUUCUAUAAUUUACCCCUCUGUGUAGAGAAAGCAUUUUUUUUCCUUUCUCCUUCCCAGUCUUCCCCCACUCUUCCUUAUUUCACUUAACAAUGUAGGCUUAACCUUUCUUCUUGCAUCAGUAUAAGUUAUACAAUGAAUUCUCAAACUCUGUUAGCUCAUCAAGUAAAAUAGAAAUUAAAAAGGUUCUUGUAAUUGAGUUUAAUAUUUAAUGCUUGUAAAGCAACAGCACUAUUUUAAAUGUUCAAACCGUGUGUGACACUUUUUACAAGGAUAAUCAUGAAUUCCUAACUGAAUAUGAAAUGUUGAACCAGUCUUGGUAUAUUUUUGGGCGAUAGUGAAGAACAAAUAUCCCUCCUAGCCACUCUGUGUUUAAAUUGAUGACAUUUGGGGUUCCAGUGCAUUUGUGGCACGUCAUUCUUAUUACAAAGGGAACUGAUUCUAUUCAGGGAUACAAAGAUUUAAUAAGCAAGUGGUCUGAGUGGGGUUAAUAGGCAUUACAUUUCACACUACAAGUCGUUUUACAUUCCUAGAAAAUUGAUGAGGGUUGGGAUCAAUUCCUGUUUUUCAAUUCCAAUUCAUUUUUUAAAUCAAUCCCCAAUGAAUUUGAAUUGCUAUUUUAGAGACAUAAUACUUGUAUUAUUGUAUUAUUGUUAGUAAUUAAUUAUAGUUUUAUCUUGAGAUUAAUGUUUUUGAUACUGUAAACAUUUUAAACGGCACACAAUUAUGCUGAGGUGGGAAGUAAAUAGUAACAUGAUAAACAUUUACAGUGUAGACUAUUUUGUAUUAUUUGUAAUGACUUUGCCCAAUAGAAAGCAAAUGUGAGUGUUUCCAAAGAUUCGUAAAUACAGCAUUUUAAUUUGUUGCACCCAAAGACAUGUAAUUAAGUUUUAAGAAUGAAGCCUAUUGAUUUGGUUUUCUGUCUCAGCAAUUUGUCAGUCCCAGACUGUAGUGUAAAAUUAUAUAUUAAAUAAAUGGGGAAAAAAGAAAUGUGUUAACCAGAUUAUUCUUCCUUUUAUUGCAACUGUAUUACCAUUCAGUGAGCGAACAUUGUAAAGGGUACUUUAGCUGAAACCUCCCGACAGAAGGGGUACAGUUGGAAUUGAUUUAAAAGGGGAUUGGAAUUGACCCAAACCUAAUGAGGUACCACUGCUCAUAAGAGAUGGCUUACUUAGUAAAUAUUUUGUAUAAGCUUGAAGAGCAGACUUUGGAGCCACUGUAUAAUUCUAUCAGUAUGCUAUUGUGCUAGGAUGGUAUUCCUGCAUUUAUGGUUGAUUUCUUUCUUGAGACAAUGGAACUCUUCAUUGAAACUCUCACUGGAACUUGCUUUGAACUGCGAGUGUUGCCUUUCGAGACUGUGAUUUCAGUGAAGGCCAAGAUACUAAGACUAGAGGGUAUUCCUGUUGCCCAGCAGAAUUUAAUCUGGAACAAUGUGAAACUAGAAGAUGAGUAUAGCUUAAAUGAUUACAACAUUUCAGAAGGGUGUACUCUGAAGCUUGUGCUAGCCAUGCGAGGCGGGCCCAUCAAUACCAGGAGAGUUCCAAUGGAAGACCCUGUGAUGGAAAUGACAGAGUACACAGACCCAACCCGGGAUGAGGUCUGGGACAAGGGUCCUUCCAACAAGCAGGUUACCUUACUAGUUUAUCGUGAAGGGGACCACUUAAAUUUGUUCCGGGUUGUGGACCGUGGAGAUGGCACUUUAACACCUCUCUCUGAAUCAAUAAGUGGAGGCUCGGUGUACAACUUGUAUACUGAAGAGGAUGAAGAAAGCGAUGUUUCACCAUCUAGCCAGCAGAUCAUGGAUAAUUCAAUCACUAUGAAUAAAAUGAAGAUGCUCAAGGCAAAGAUGGAAAACAUGAACCUCAGUAACAAGCCCAAGAAACCUGCCAAGGUGAAACCAAGCCCUCCCGUGGGCCCUCUCCCCUCCAGUGGCUCCCUGAAUGCUGUUCGUCACCGACUGUUCCGGGUCCUUCCUCACAUCAGCCAGGCCCUGAACCCUGCAUCGUGCCUACCUCCAGUUGGGGACCAGCACCCCUCUGCAACUGCUGCUGCCUCCCCACAUAGUGCACUCUCCAUGCUCACCCCCCCCAGCCAAGCAUUGCCAUCCUCCAGCAGUUACCUUGUAAAAGAGGAAGAAACCUGGGAAUGUCCAAUACUGGCAUCCCCACUGAGCAAAAUCUGGUCGCCUCCUAAAGUGUCGCGGGUAGAGCUGGGGAGCUCAAAACUGCUGAAAAACACAGUCCUUCCACCUGUCACAUCCCUGCAGAACAGGGAAGCAACCGAGAGCAGCACAGUGGAAACAGAAACCAAAAUAGAAGGUGCCUUCUCACAUUCCCUUAGAGAAUACCAUGCUUUAGCUGAAACCUGCAAAGAUGCUUUUAAUUUGCUAGUUGAAAAUCUGACUGACAUAAGUGCAGCUGUAAAUUUAGAACCAGUAGAUGAAGGUCUUGGAUCAACAGAAGAAGCAGCUGCUCCUGCGCAGUCUAUUGUUCUUUCCAAAGCGAUGAGCUCCAAGUACAUGGACACUGGGAUUGUGACCAUUGACCAAGCCUCUCAGACGGACAAGAAAGUCCCCCUACAGUAUAUGUUUGAGUCUGCCUCCAGCUCCUUAGCUAGACCCCAGAGAUUACCAGAACCUUUUGAAUACGGCAACCUGAGACCCAUUGCUUCCCAUUCUGUGUUGAAAUCCAGGGACUCUUCUGGUAUCCCAGGUGUCUCUCCGACCCAAACUGCGAGGUUUCAGGGUGUAACCGUGGACUCCCCUAGCAAGCAUCCUGACAUAUCAAAAACAGAAUCACCCAAUGUUACAGACAUGGCAAAUAUGACGUCCAGCAAACCUUUGGCAUCUGUGAAUAAUUUAGGAAUCCUGGCUUCGCUGGCACGAGGCACAAGCGGGAACAGAUUGCAGGGAAGCUGUAGGAGAAGGCACUACACAAACGGUGGGCCCCUUCUUGCAAACCUCCAGCUCUUUCCAAAGGACACUGAUAGCUCAUUCAUGUGGCUGCAGGAGAUUGAGAGCUCAAGGCAGGCUCUGCCUCCCCAGCAAGUAAACCAUACGGCAGUUUCUGAUACCACAACAGCAUGGAGUGCACAGGAUUACUCUGCAAGCACACUUAUCAGAAAACCAGGUCCAAGGCUCUUGGUCACCAAGACAAUAACACCUCCAUAUAAGUCAUCUGGAGCUGUUAACAAUCUUCCUAGCACUGAAACACUUUGUACUGCUUUUAAACAAAAGGGCAGCACUAGUUCUUGCCGACAACACCACAGCUGUAAAAUACAUAAACCACCAAGGAGACACAAAAUCAUGGACACUGCUUUCUAGCCAUAAGAAUCUGGAACUGGUGCAGGACACAGGACAUCACUAUUCAGGCAACAUACAUACCCGGGCUCGACAACAGACUCGCAGACCUGCUGAGCAGAGAAAUGGUGCCUCACGAGUGGAAAAUUCAACCACAGGUAUUACAAGAGGUAUUCAGAAAAUUAGGGCACCCAAAAAUAGACCUAUUUGCCACAACACAAAACAGCCAGCUGCCACUGUUUUGCUCCUGUUUCCAGGAAAAGCAGCCAUGGCAACAGAUGGUCUUUCCAUUUCAUGGGCAAACAGCUUAAUGUACCCUCCCAUGCCACUAAUCCCAGUGGUGCUCAGGAAAACAAGAAGAGACAAAGUCACUCUCAUUCUGGUAGCCCCUUACUGGGCCUAGGUUCUGGUUCUUGGAGAUCCUGGACAUAGCAGAGGAGGGACCUGUGCACUUACCAGUGACCUGCAAUCUACUGUCUCAAAACGAGGGGAGGUUGCUACACAACAAUCCUUCAUGGUUACGGCUAGCUGCCUGGAGAUUGAACAGCAAAAACUAACAAAUCAGGGGCUAUCUGAACAAGUAGUCAAUAUCUUACUUGCUUCAAAGAAAAAAAGAAAACUUCCACUUUUCUAGCCUAUACAGGAAAAUGGAGAGAGUUUACUCUCUGGUGCAGCUCAAUAUAUAUAUAUGGGACCACCGUUUGAGCCCAUGGCAACAUGCAAUGAAAAAUUCUUGACAUGGAAGGAGGGUAAGUGAGCUCCAAGCACUAGUGAUUGAUGCACCCUGGUCUGUAGACCCAAUUCCGAUCUAAAGGGGGAACACGUUUUCAUAUUAACCAGAUCAUAACUUUUCAUGAUUUUUACCCAAAAUCACAUAAAUCAGAAGAGGCUGCUAGACACCACCUAAUUGAUGUAAGGAGAGCACUGAAUUUCUACAUUCACAGAACUAUCAAUAAAAGAGCAUCAGGACAGCUUUUUGUGUCUUUUAACUCACAAACUCGGGGGAAGUCUGUGUCAAAACAGACCAUUUUAAGAUUGAUCACCUCCUGUAUUCAGUUUUGUUAUGAACUGGAGAAAAAACUGUUCCAGGACCUAUCAAAGUCCACUCGGUAAGAGGAGCUGCUACUACUUGGGCAAAAUGUAAACCCGUCCCAAUCCAGGACAUCUGCAAUGCUGCUAUCUAGGCCUCUUUCGAGACCUUUUAUAAAAUUUAAAUGUGUCUUGCUCUCAGCCCACUUUUACUCACUCUGUGUUGUCUGUGGCUUCUUCCACUAAUAUUUGACCUACCACCCUUUAUCUGUUUCCUUUGGUAGAGUUCACUCUGUGUGUGGAGUUCAUCAUACAAGGUAAGAAGACGAAGAUUAUCUAUAAUAUGGUUUCUUGAUAAAAUGAUGAACUCCACACACCUAUAUCCCACCUUCUUCCCCUGGUUUUUGUCUUUACUGAAUUUUUUUUUUAAUUUGGACAACAACACUAAAGGAUAUGGGAUGUUUUAUAGAGGAGGAGUACUACUUUGGCACCAAAACAAGUUUAUAUCAAGGAUCUAUGGGAAAGAGAUUGUUUGUUUUGUUUUUCUCCUGACCUAAGCAACAUGGAGACUGGGAGUUCACUCUGUGUGUGGAGUUCAUCAUUCUACAAAGAAACCAUAUCACAGCCUGCUCAUGGUUUCAGUGGAGGGGCUUCUAGCUCAGUAAGGAGAGUAGG